This 73-nucleotide transfer RNA is filed under the name Danio rerio (zebrafish). It matches the Rfam family "tRNA". Rfam says of the family: Transfer RNA (tRNA) molecules are approximately 80 nucleotides in length. Lineage: Eukaryota; Metazoa; Chordata; Actinopteri; Cypriniformes; Danionidae. The record is from Rfam by way of RNAcentral.
GACACAGUGGUGCAAUUGGUAGCACAGUCGCCUCAAAGCAAGAAGGUUGCUGGUUCGAGACCCGUCUGGGUCA